Molecule: ribosomal RNA, 253 nt
Filed under: uncultured bacterium
Lineage: Bacteria
Description: partial 16S ribosomal RNA
Rfam family: Bacterial small subunit ribosomal RNA
Source: RNAcentral
UACGUAGGGUGCAAGCGUUGUCCGGAAUUAUUGGGCGUAAAGAGCUCGUAGGCGGUCUGUCGCGUCGGAUGUGAAAAUCCAGGGCUCAACCCUGGACCUGCAUUCGAUACGGGCAGACUAGAGUUCGGUAGGGGAGACUGGAAUUCCUGGUGUAGCGGUGAAAUGCGCAGAUAUCAGGAGGAACACCUAUUGCGAAGGCAGCUCGCUGGGACGUAACUGACGCUGAGACGCGAAAGCGUGGGGAGCAAACAGG